RNAcentral lists this ribosomal RNA (394 nucleotides) under Stramenopiles sp. MAST-8B. RNAcentral describes it as "partial small subunit ribosomal RNA". It matches the Rfam family "Eukaryotic small subunit ribosomal RNA", at positions 582 to 975 of the family's 1831-position model. The record is from RNAcentral.
AUUCCAGCUCCAAUAGCGUAUAUUAAAGUUGUUGCAGUUAAAAAGCUCGUAGUUGGAUUUCUGGCCGGGGCGACCGGUCGGCGCCCUAGCGGCGUGUGCACUGUCGUCGGCCCUGGCCAUCUGCGUUCGGAGGGUCGCUGGCAUUAAGUUGUCGGCGGCUUGACGGGCGCCGUUUACUGUGAAAAAAUUAGAGUGUUUAAAGCAGGCGAUCGCUGUGAAUACAUUAGCAUGGAAUAAUGGAAAAGGACUUCAACCUUUUCUGUUGGUCUGAGAGGCUGUAGUAAUGAUUAAUAGGGAUAGUUGGGGGCAUUAGUACUUAACUGUCAGAGGUGAAAUUCUCCGAUUUGUUAAAGACUAACUUAUGCGAAAGCAUUUGCCAAGGAUGUUUUCAUCA